UGAGGAAUAUUGGUCAAUGGGCGCAGGCCUGAACCAGCCAAGUAGCGUGAAGGAUGACUGCCCUAUGGGUUGUAAACUUCUUUUAUAAAGGAAUAAAGUCGGGUAUGUAUACCCGUUUGCAUGUACUUUAUGAAUAAGGAUCGGCUAACUCCGUGCCAGCAGCCGCGGUAAUACGGAGGAUCCGAGCGUUAUCCGGAUUUAUUGGGUUUAAAGGGAGCGUAGAUGGAUGUUUAAGUCAGUUGUGAAAGUUUGCGGCUCAACCGUAAAAUUGCAGUUGAUACUGGAUAUCUUGAGUGCAGUUGAGGCAGGCGGAAUUCGUGGUGUAGCGGUGAAAUGCUUAGAUAUCACGAAGAACUCCGAUUGCGAAGGCAGCCUGCUAAGCUGCAACUGACAUUGAGGCUCGAAAGUGUGGGUAUCAAACAGGAUUAGAUACCCUGGUAGUCCACACGGUAAACGAUGAAUACUCGCUGUUUGCGAUAUACAGCAAGCGGCCAAGCGAAAGCGUUAAGUAUUCCACCUGGGGAGUACGCCGGCAACGGUGAAACUCAAAGGAAUUGACGGGGGCCCGCACAAGCGGAGGAACAUGUGGUUUAAUUCGAUGAUACGCGAGGAACCUUACCCGGGCUUAAAUUGCAGAUGAAUUACGGUGAAAGCCGUAAGCCGCAAGGCAUCUGUGAAGGUGCUGCAUGGUUGUCGUCAGCUCGUGCCGUGAGGUGUCGGCUUAAGUGCCAUAACGAGCGCAACCCUUGUUGUCAGUUACUAACAGGUUUCGCUGAGGACUCUGACAAGACUGCCAUCGUAAGAUGUGAGGAAGGUGGGGAUGACGUCAAAUCAGCACGGCCCUUACGUCCGGGGCUACACACGUGUUACAAUGGGGGGUACAGAGGGCCGCUACCACGCGAGUGGAUGCCAAUCCCCAAAACCUCUCUCAGUUCGGACUGGAGUCUGCAACCCGACUCCACGAAGCUGGAUUCGCUAGUAAUCGCGCAUCAGCCACGGCGCGGUGAAUACGUUCCC
Molecule: ribosomal RNA, 1017 nt
Filed under: uncultured bacterium
Lineage: Bacteria
Description: bacterial SSU rRNA
Rfam family: Bacterial small subunit ribosomal RNA
Source: RNAcentral